Molecule: ribosomal RNA, 479 nt
Filed under: Mystus cavasius (Gangetic mystus)
Lineage: Eukaryota; Metazoa; Chordata; Actinopteri; Siluriformes; Bagridae
Description: partial 12S ribosomal RNA
Rfam family: Bacterial small subunit ribosomal RNA
Source: RNAcentral
ACACACACAUCCGCCCGGGUACUACGAGCACAGCUUAAAACCCAAAGGACUUGGCGGUGUCUCAGACCCACCUAGAGGAGCCUGUUCUAGAACCGAUAACCCCCGUUAAACCUCACCACUUCUUGUUUUCCCCGCCUAUAUACCGCCGUCGUCAGCUUACCCUGUGAAGGUUUAAUAGUAAGCAAAAUGGGCUAGCCCAAAAACGUCAGGUCGAGGUGUAGCGCACGAAGUGGGAAGAAAUGGGCUACAUUUUCUAUACAUAGAAUAUUACGAAUGGCGCAUUGAAAUUAUGCGCCUGAAGGUGGAUUUAGUAGUAAAAAGCAAAUAGAGUGUCCAUUUGAACUAGGCUCUGAGACGCGCACACACCGCCCGUCACUCUCCCCAACAUCCCAUUUAAACAAUAUAUAAUAAAUCAACUACAAACACGGGGAGGCAAGUCGUAACAUGGUAAGUGUACCGGAAGGUGCACUUGGAAUAAU